Molecule: non-coding RNA, 913 nt
Organism: Ictidomys tridecemlineatus (thirteen-lined ground squirrel)
Lineage: Eukaryota; Metazoa; Chordata; Mammalia; Rodentia; Sciuridae
Source: RefSeq, a predicted model, not a curated record
UUGACCUAUUGUGGCAAGCUGAGCAGCAAGCCAGCAGCAUCUUCUGAAAAUGAUGAGGAAGCUGCCUCUAAUUUCCACCCCCAAGCCCCAGCCUCGUCCUCCUCCUGUUGCUUCCCGCUCUCCCCACCCCAUCCGGCUUCCUCCCCUGUCUCCCCACUCUUCCAGCCCUCGGUCUCCUCUCCAGCUCAAUGUGACCCUCUCCUCCCUGUGUCCCACCCGUUUCCCAUCUCUGACUAAUAAUGUCCCUUCCCACUACCAUCCCUUGAGGGUCUCCUCGUCGAACUCUUCCUUUGUUCCUGCCACUCACGGCCAGGAACCAAGGGAAAAACACCCAGAGACAUGUGCACGGAAGCCAAAAAACUGGAAGAGUUUCAGAGCCUUUGAGUAAAGGCCUGGUUCUCCUGGGUGCAAAGUAAGCAUGUGGACAUGCUACAUGACAGACUUCCAGGACAUCACCUGGCAAGCUCAGCAUGAGUGACAGGAAGGACAAGUACAGCUGGCCCAGCCAGGCAGCCCUGCACAGACCUCCCAGGCCUUGCAGAUAAGAGACUACUUUUGUAUUGGUUACAAGAGGCCUCCAGAUGCUGUAGAACUUCUCACCAUUGUAAACUUGGGAACAAUGCCAUUGCAUGGUGCUGGUGGCAUAGUAAGUGUGUCCCCCUCCAAAAAAAAUGGAUCCAAAUAUUGUGGAACCUUGCUAGUGUAAUAAAGCUGGAGUUCCAGAAUGACAUGGUUGGCACAGAAGAGCCUGGAUUAGCCCUAACGUGUGGCUCCCUACACUGGGGGGAAAUUUUGGAUGGUUCUGUGGCUUUUAAAAUGUUUUUCUCAGAGUAUUAAAUGUUCUGUUAAAUGCAUAAGAAAUAUAAAGCACAAAACUAGAAAAUAAAAAGAAUAAAGAUAUUGAUUAACUUCA